UUAGAAGAAGCCAAUUAUCAAAGGCAAUUUACUGUUAAUAAAUUAUUAGAUUUUUUAUAAUCCUUCUAAA
Molecule: transfer RNA, 70 nt
Filed under: Nisia fuliginosa
Lineage: Eukaryota; Metazoa; Arthropoda; Insecta; Hemiptera; Meenoplidae
Description: tRNA-Asn
Source: RNAcentral